Long non-coding RNA from Cydia fagiglandana, 400 nucleotides. RefSeq lists it as uncharacterized. The record is from RefSeq and is a predicted model, not a curated record. The transcript has 2 exons. Lineage: Eukaryota; Metazoa; Arthropoda; Insecta; Lepidoptera; Tortricidae.
CAGGGGUCGGACAAAAAGUGCGGAUGACGUAAAAAUGACGUAAUCUUGCACACAGGAUGAUGUUUGAGUUUGUAUUUUAACUUCCGUGUGACAUGUAGUAACAAAGUAGUAUUAAUGAAGUAACAAAAUAAUUGUAAAUAAAUCCAUGGAAUUAAUAAUACAGGUGGUAGAUAGGGUGAUGUAGUGAAUAAAAUAAAUUUCACGAAACUUGUUACCAUAAGGUAUAAUUAUUUGAAAUUAGUUAGAACAAGUCUGUGGGAUCCUCAGAUAAAUAGGUUUAAUAGUCAAAAGUGGGAACAGUAGUAAGAUUAAGCAGUAUACGUGUUUGUCACGUACCUCCAAAAACGGAAAAUUGCCACAAUAUUCGAGUAAAGAUGACAUUUCAGAGCGUUUUCUUAUA